AGACCAUCCCGAGCGGCCGAGAGAUCUGGCUCGUCGACGCCGCAGCAACCUUCGGAUGCGAUCCGCCCCCUCCGGCGGAUCCUUCAGAAAAGGUGCUACCGCCAGGACCGAUGGGAG
This 117-nucleotide non-coding RNA is filed under the name Nesterenkonia sp. RNAcentral's name for it is "SAM-I sequence". It matches the Rfam family "SAM riboswitch aptamer (S box leader)". From Rfam's summary of the family: The SAM riboswitch is found upstream of a number of genes which code for proteins involved in methionine or cysteine biosynthesis in Gram-positive bacteria. The SAM riboswitch acts at the level of transcription termination control. The predicted structure consists of a complex stem-loop region followed by a single stem loop terminator region. Lineage: Bacteria; Bacillati; Actinomycetota; Actinomycetes; Micrococcales; Micrococcaceae. The record is from RNAcentral.